This 666-nucleotide small RNA is filed under the name Porites lobata. RNAcentral describes it as "eukaryotic LSU rRNA". The stretch from base 241 to 394 matches the Rfam family "5.8S ribosomal RNA". The record is from RNAcentral. Lineage: Eukaryota; Metazoa; Cnidaria; Anthozoa; Scleractinia; Poritidae.
GGUGAACCUGCGGAAGGAUCAUUACCGAUGUGAAAAAAUCCAAGGUUAAACAUCAUUAACCAACCAGUGUGAACUGUGAAACAACUCUUUAGGGGUCGGCACAGGCGUGUGUCGUUAAAUGGCGGAUAGGUUCCUUCCGCCAGCCCCGCCAUUGUGUUUAUGAUAUCACUUUGAACGUUAAAGACUGAGAACGUAUGUAUCAUGCAUUAAAUGUAUGAGAAAGAAAGAAAAAUGAGAGACAACUUUUGACGGUGGAUCUCUUGGCUCACGUAUCGAUGAAGAACGCAGCCAGCUGCGAUAUGUAGUGUGAAUUGCAGAAUUCAGUGAAUCAUUGAAUCUUUGAACGCAAAUGGCGCUCUUGGGUUCUCCCAGGAGCAUGUCUGUCUGAGUGUCGGAUUUUAUCGAACGCACUCGUGCCUCAUGUGACUCAUGUGUGCGGUAUUGAGGUGUCACGGCGUGUUAGCAAGCAAGCAAGCAUUAAAUCGCCGUGUCCCUUGAAGGACAGCAGCAUUGGACUCGCAUUCUCUAUUGAAACUUGAGUGCGAAGGCUAAAGAUAAUAUUUUCCUUCGCCCAAACAUGCAAUAGCAGAAACAAAAUCCAAUCAAAGCGGUGAGUGACAAUAAACAUCAAAUCUUGACCUCAGAUCAGGCAAGGCUACCCGCUGA